GUUUCGACUCAUCCGGCCUCCGCCUUUCGAUAACUCGUUUCCGUCGUUUGUAAACAACGCCGAGCCGGCUGAUCGGACUUGACCAAUGGUAAACGAAAUCUCGCUGGAUCUUCGAUCAAACGGCAUUUACGUUACAUCGUGGCGGCGGUGAAAAUCGGCGUGCGUACAACAUGUCGGUAAAUUGUUAUCGUGGAUUCGGCCGAACGACGAUCUCUUACAAUUCUACGGCACUACGAUUAAUUAGACCGUACAGAAGAACAACUUCCAUAAGGAGGGAAAGGAACAGGAAAGAAAGA
RNAcentral lists this unclassified non-coding RNA (296 nucleotides) under Bombus terrestris (buff-tailed bumblebee). Its description in RNAcentral is "misc RNA ENSBTSG00005021629.1". Lineage: Eukaryota; Metazoa; Arthropoda; Insecta; Hymenoptera; Apidae. The record is from RNAcentral.